GAUGAACGCUGGCGGCGUGCCUAAUACUUGCAAGUCGAGCGAACGGACGAGAAGCUUGCUUCUCUGAUGUUAGCGGCGGACGGGUGAGUAACACGUGGAUAACCUACCUAUAAGACUGGGAUAACUUCGGGAAACCGGAGCUAAUACCGGAUAAUAUUUUGAACCGCAUGGUUCAAAAGUGAAAGACGGUCUUGCUGUCACUUAUAGAUGUAUCCGCGCUGCAUUAGCUAGUUGGUAAGGUAACGGCUUACCAAGGCAACGAUGCAUAGCCGACCGGAGAGGGGGAUAGGCGACACUGGAACUGAGACACGGUCCAGACUACUAAGGGAGGCAGCAGUAGGGAAUCUUCCGCAAAGGGCGAAAGCAUGACGGAGCAACGCCGCGUGAGUGAUGAAGGUCUUCGGAUCGUAAAACUCUGUUAUUAGGGAAGAACAUAUGUGUAAGUAACUGUGCACAUCGUGACGGUACCUAAUCAGAAAGCCACGGCUAACUACGUG
Molecule: ribosomal RNA, 497 nt
Filed under: uncultured bacterium
Lineage: Bacteria
Description: partial 16S ribosomal RNA
Rfam family: Bacterial small subunit ribosomal RNA
Source: RNAcentral